UCAGCAUGUCGCGGUGAAUACGUUCCCGGGUCUUGUACACACCGCCCGUCACACCACGAGAGUUUGUAACACCCGAAGCCGGUGGCCUAACCGUAAGGAAGGAGCCGUCUAAGGUGGGACAGAUGAUUGGGGUGAAGUCGUAACAAGGUAUCCCUACCGGAAGGUGGGGAUGGAUCACCUCCUUUCUAAGGAGA
The sequence is a ribosomal RNA, 194 nucleotides long. It matches the Rfam family "Bacterial small subunit ribosomal RNA", at positions 1349 to 1533 of the family's 1533-position model.